Dreissena polymorpha is the source of this 1320-nucleotide long non-coding RNA. RefSeq lists it as uncharacterized. NCBI's taxonomy places the organism in Eukaryota, Metazoa, Mollusca, Bivalvia, Myida, Dreissenidae. The transcript is spliced from 3 exons. The record is from RefSeq and is a predicted model, not a curated record.
CAAUACAUGUUUAUAAACAAAACAGUCUACAAAAAGGAAACUGUCAAGUAGCCAAAUAGCCAAAUAUUAAACAGCGUUAAAACAUUGGAGAGCAAAGUUGCUUUCAGAAAAAAGAACGAGAGAUGUUCCGCCCAAAGGGGAUUGCAGUUAUGUUGGCUUUCUUGAGCAUAUGUCCGAUUGGAGCAGGAGGGCUGAAUGUCUGUUAUUGGACUUGCUUGCCAAUAGUCGGGUUGGGAGGCUCGGCAGGUUUGACCGCUUUGGGAUUCACUGCUACCGGCAUUGGUGCAGGCACCUGGGCGGCUUCGUGGAUGGCAUCCUUUGCAGGCGCAGUGCCCAAAGAAACGGCAGGUUACACAGCCCCUGCGAUAUGUGAAUACUUGUGCCGCUAAUGUGUAAGCGGUUUUAAAGAUUCGACGGAUUACGAUUUCGGAACAAUGAAAUUAAAACUGAAUUUUUUUUUUUACUUGUAAUGGCAAUGCUUUGAAAACAUGUGUAUAAAUAACCGUGAUGAAAACCACAAAAUCAAUAAUGCCUAUAUUCAUCAUCGGAGACGAAACGUUAUUACUCUGGUUAGCAUUCUUAUUUUAAAUAAUAUAUUUUAUAACAAUAAUAAAUGUCACUUGAAAUUAAUGCAAAGGUAUACACAUUUUACUUCCUGUUUUUUUUUUUUUACAUUCUAUGACCGAUUUGUACAUGAAGUAUAAAGUGUUUUUAUCAUUGCUUUACUGAUACCAAAUAUGACUUAUAUUUUGAUUGCCGUGUGUUUGUUUUUUCUGUGUCAUCUAGUGACCUAUGCUGUUUCAUUUUAUUUGGUAAGUGGUCAUUGAUCGCUUAGGCCAUUAAAAGGCCUCGUGCUGUUAUAAGUUUUAUCUUAUGCUGGUGCAGUUAAGUUUACAUUAAAAAAAAUAGCAACACAUAGUAUAUUGACAUUUGACUCCAUAAUUGAGAUUGUAGAAACCAUAAGAUUUUUUUUCAUAUUUCAAUAUGCAUGCAUUAUCAGUGUGGUAUGUUUUACAGCAACAGGAACUGCAUUUUAAAUUACACACAAAUCUAUGUACCUAUGACCCAUAACUCACGCUUUCACACAGUAACUGUAAUAAACAUGAGUAUGUUUCAAUAUUUCUUUUGGAAAACUGAUAUCAUCAAAGUUCUUGAAGACCUGAUAUAGUAUGCUCUUUCCUUUUGUGUAGUGGUAAGCCUGUUCCGGCCAGCUCAGUUGAUAGAAUCAUAGCUGUGUACGAUGUGUCAUCCUUUCCUUAAAUUCAACGCCACUCAUGUUAAGAAAUUGUUCGUAAGUUUGCUGAAUACAUUGAAAAGUAA